GGCUCAGGAUGAACGCUAGCUACAGGCUUAACACAUGCAAGUCGAGGGGAAACGACAUCGAAAGCUUGCUUUUGAUGGGCGUCGACCGGCGCACGGGUGAGUAACGCGUAUCCAACCUGCCCACCACUUGGGGAUAACCUUGCGAAAGUGAGACUAAUACCCAAUGACGUCUCUAGAAGACAUCUGAAAGAGAUUAAAGAUUUAUCGGUGAUGGAUGGGGAUGCGUCUGAUUAGCUUGUUGGCGGGGUAACGGCCCACCAAGGCAACGAUCAGUAGGGGUUCUGAGAGGAAGGUCCCCCACAUUGGAACUGAGACACGGUCCAAACUCCUACGGGAGGCAGCAGUGAGGAAUAUUGGUCAAUGGACGAGAGUCUGAACCAGCCAAGUAGCGUGCAGGAAGACGGCCCUAUGGGUUGUAAACUGCUUUUAUAAGGGAAUAAAGUGAGUCUCGUGAGACUUUUUGCAUGUACCUUAUGAAUAAGGACCGGCUAAUUCCGUGCCAGCAGCCGCGGUAAUACGGAAGGUCCGGGCGUUAUCCGGAUUUAUUGGGUUUAAAGGGAGCGUAGGCCGGAGAUUAAGCGUGUUGUGAAAUGUAGAUGCUCAACAUCUGAACUGCAGCGCGAACUGGUUUCCUUGAGUACGCACAAAGUGGGCGGAAUUCGUGGUGUAGCGGUGAAAUGCUUAGAUAUCACGAAGAACUCCGAUUGCGAAGGCAGCUCACUGGAGCGCAACUGACGCUGAAGCUCGAAAGUGCGGGUAUCGAACAGGAUUAGAUACCCUGGUAGUCCGCACGGUAAACGAUAGAUGCCCGCUGUUGGUCUGAAUAGGUCAGCGGCCAAGCGAAAGCAUAA
Molecule: ribosomal RNA, 851 nt
Filed under: uncultured bacterium
Lineage: Bacteria
Description: bacterial SSU rRNA
Rfam family: Bacterial small subunit ribosomal RNA
Source: RNAcentral